This is a long non-coding RNA of Phocoena sinus (vaquita), 2584 nucleotides long. The record is from Ensembl. Lineage: Eukaryota; Metazoa; Chordata; Mammalia; Artiodactyla; Phocoenidae.
GCGCCAUGCGCAGCUUAAGGAGCACGGUGGGCAGGCGGCGGCGGCAGAAGGACGAGGCCGUGACGAAAUCGCAGAGCUCCAGAGACCCGCGCGUGGGGAUUAGGCCGAGAGCAUACAGUUUGUCCAGCAGCGCGGCCGAGGAGCGCACGCGAAACGGGUCGCGCUCCGGCAGGUCCCGCAGGCGCCGCGCCAGCUCGCGCACAGCACGGCUCAGCUGGUUGUAGCGCGUGUAGUCCUCGCGCCGUUGCAGCCGAUAACGCCGCAACACGCGCAGCUCGUGCAAGUUGUGAUCGGUGACCUCCCAGUUCAGGAAGUCCACCUGCUUCAGCAGCUUCUGCUCGUGGAACUUAAGCUUCCGCACCAUGACGGCGGCUUGGAUGCUGCAGGACCCGUGGCUCAGCGCGCGUUCCGGCGCCCGCGCGACUUCCGCCUCAGCACUGCUAGACCGGGCCUGGGGACCCUGGGCCAAUAAAAGAAAGGCUCAGUGCUACGCCCUCUGUUUCCACUGGUCAGGGUGGGGCCACGCCCCGCGUCUGUAUCUCGCGAUUCUUCUCUUCUUCGCGUUCUCUGAGGGAGGCGGGGAAAGAGCGCUGGUAGACACCUGGGACGAGAGGGGGGCCCCAAAGACGAGUCUGCGCGGUUUUAAGUCGUCUAGAAUUAAUCACCUAGUGCCGUAAUUAUUUCCUCUCAUUUAGAUUUCUGCCAUUCAGUGCCUCUCUGAAACUGGCUUAAGAGGCCAGUUCCGGGAAAGGGGGGUGACUGUCGCGCUAGUUUGGUUGAAUUUACUGUGCUGACCGUGGCGGGCGGGGGGCGUCCUCCGACCUCGUGGCGGGCUUCCCCGAGCCGGCCGGGGCUGAUCGGGUAUGCCCACCGCCCACUAGCGCCAGGUCCAUUAGCAGGCGGGCGGAACGGUUUCUCCCUGCCAAGUGGGGCUAGGCGCCACCGAACCUAUGAAAUACCGAUUCCCAGGCUGCUUCCUACACCCACAGAAUCGGGAUCUACACCGGAGUCACCUGGAAAUCUGUAUUGUUAACAAGAAUGCCAGGUGAUUCAUAAAACCCAGUAAGUUUGAAAAGCUUGGAUAGUACAAGUGCUGACCCUUUAAUCCGGGCUCAAACGAAUUAGCUUGACAGGGUGCAUUUCUGGUGCCGAGUAUUUAGUUAACUUAACACUUUUUCUGCUAGUUAUAUCUGUUUCAGCUUAGUGUAGCGCUACAGGACUAACUUCUUUAUUUGCCCAAGACUUUGACGCCACCUAGCUUCUUCGCCUAUCAUUUUGUUUUAUUUUUGUACGCUUCUCAUUGUUUUUUUAAAAUAUAAUAUUUGAUAUAUGGAAUCUACUAUAUGUAAGAUACAAAGUAUAAUGAAUACUUGUGGACCCAAGAGCCAGUUUAAGAAAGCAUCACCAGGACCACUUCAUCUACAUAUUCCAGCCACUCCCCCAGUGAGAGGUAAAGGUAUCUACUCUCCUGAAUUUAGUGUUUAUUUUUACCUUUUGUUUAAAAAGAAAAAAUUUUUUAAUUUAAAAAAAUUUAAAAAGGAAAAUAGUUUUAUCAUGGUAAAUGCAUCCCUAAAUACUGAGAACCUUCUUACUCAAAGUGUAGUCCAUGGAUCAGCAGAGAGCUGUUGGAAAUGCAGAAUUUCAGGCCCCAUUUCUGACCUACAGAAUCAGAAUCUGCAUUUAACCAGACCCCCAGGUAAUUUGCAUGCACACUGACAUUUGAGAAGUGUUGCUUAGAAGACAUCACAUCGUGUGGAGUUUUCUAUCUGUAGCUGCAGUUUUUUUUCUUUAACUGUUGCAUUAUAUUCCAUUGUUUGGUUCUAUCUAAUUUAUUAAUCCAUCUCCUGUUGGAUUUUUUUGGAGGGAAUAUUUUUAGCAGUGCUACUAUUAAAAUUCUUGUAGGUUUCCUGUUGCACAUAUGUAGUAACUUCUGUUGAAUAGUAUACAUCUUGAAGUUGAAUUGCUCAGUUGUAAAGUAUGCAUGUAAAGUAUGCAUGAACAUGUAAAGUGCAUGUUGAGCUUUACUAGAUAUUGCCAAAUUGUUUUCCAAAGGGGCUGUACCAGUUUAUAUUCCUUUGACAGUGCAUGGGCGUUCCCUUUGCUCCUCAUUCUUUUUUUUUUUUUUUUAAUAAAUUUAUUAUUUAUUUAUGGCUGCAUUGGGUCUCCGUUGCUGCACACAGGCUUUCUCUAGUUGCAGCCAGCGGGGGCUACUCUUUGUUGUGGAGCUCCGGCUUCUCACUGCGGUGACUUCUCUUGUUCUGGAGCACGGGCUCUAGGCACGGGCUUCAGUAGCUGUGGCUCACAGGCUCUAGAGCACAGGCUCAGUAGUUGUGGCACACGGGCGUAGUUGCUCCGCGGCAUGUGGGAUCUUCCCAGACCAGGGCUCGAACCCGUGUCCCCUGCAUUGGCAGGUGGAUUCUUAACCACUGCGCCACCAGGGAAGCCCUGCUCCUCAUUCUUGACAACACUUGGUUGUUAGAUUUUUUAAAAUAUUUGCCAAUCUGAUGAGUGUGUGAUGGUAUUUAACUGUGAUUUUAAUUUGCAUUUCCUGAUGAAUAAAGGUUUCAUAUGUGUUUCUGCCUCU